This 400-nucleotide ribosomal RNA is filed under the name uncultured bacterium. RNAcentral's name for it is "bacterial SSU rRNA". It matches the Rfam family "Bacterial small subunit ribosomal RNA", at positions 355 to 751 of the family's 1533-position model. The record is from RNAcentral.
UGAGGAAUAUUGGUCAAUGGGCGCAAGCCUGAACCAGCCAUCCCGCGUGCAGGAAGACGGCCCUAUGGGUUGUAAACUGCUUUUCCAGGGAGAGAAACUUACGCACGUGUUGCGUGACUGACGGUACCCUGGGAAUAAGCAUCGGCUAACUCCGUGCCAGCAGCCGCGGUAAUACGGAGGAUGCAAGCGUUAUCCGGAUUCAUUGGGUUUAAAGGGUGCGUAGGCGGGCUAUUAAGUCAGUGGUGAAAUCCUGCAGCUUAACUGCAGAACUGCCGUUGAUACUGAUAGUCUUGAGUUUGGUUAAGGUAGGCGGAAUGUGUAAUGUAGCGGUGAAAUGCUUAGAUAUUACACAGAACACCAAUUGCGUAGGCAGCUUACUGAGCCGACACUGACGCUGAGG